CUUCUGACAGCACCCCAAGACUGAGGUCCAGCCUGUCUCCGCAGGCAGGCCUGGCCGGUGUCCGAGGGUCAGAGGGAGCCCAUGGAGGAGGGCGCCCAGCACCCCUGUGGGUGAGAGUUGGGGGGCAGGUACUGUUACUAGUGAGCCGUCUGGUCAUUCAGUGAUUUCACCCCACUUUGGAGAUGAGCAGCAGUCCCAGCACUCAAGGUCCCUCAAGUCUGAGUGCCCAAGCCCAGCCUGACUGGGGCGGUCAGAAUCAUGGCUGUUCACGUCGCCUGAGCGCACGCUGAGACCUGGCCCUGUGCUGGGCUCCCCCAGACAGGGACCUCCUGAGUCCAAGCACUUUGGGUGUCUUCCUGUCCCUUUAAUCCCCAUCACCCGCUCCCCAGGUCAGAGUCACUGAUCCCGUUUUCAGCGGAGGACACUGAGGCUCAGAGAGUCAGCACACGACCUGGCCUGUCACGGGCUGUGGCGUGGCCCCGCCGGGGGUUUGAGUUCAGGCCCAUCUGGCCCCAAAGGCUGUCCUUGCACAGGAGCCUGAGGCUCUGAGCCCGGCCUUGGAGCCCGUACAGCAUGGAUCCCAGAGAACACCCCAGGGAUGCGGAGGCGGCCUCUGUCUCCUCCCGUGGUCACUGGAGGCUGUGCAGUCUUCCUCCUCCUCUCAGGGAGGGGCCUGCUGCCCGCAGGGCCCAGAGGGGGCUUCUCGUCAAAGCCGUUCGGGUGCUGUCUGGACCAGAGAGGUCCGAGUGAGGGGCCGAGGGGAUCAGCAGGGCACUCUGGCCCUUUUCGCUCUUCUGAUGUCCACGCUGACGUGGAUGCAGGGGGUCCCUCACGUGCUGGUUGGAGAGCAGCGAGAAGCUGAUGUUGCAGACCCUGAGACCCAGCCCUCAUGUGCCGGAGGCUGCCAAGGGCAUGGGGAGCUGAAGCCGAGGGCUGUUGGAGGCCAAGGACCGUGGGGAUGCUGAGGAUGGAACGUCUACUCCUGGCCCCCGAGGAGUGGAGGAUCAGCAGAGCCCAGACCCCGCAGGGUGCCCUGUGCCAGCGUCCGGCUCCAGGGGCUUCUAGGAACUGGGGCGUCUUGGUCCCCUCUGGGUAUGGAGGGAGUGAGUGCCAUGACAGUCCAGCUAGACCCUAUAGGGUCAGAAGAGGAACUAAUGAUGUAAGCCUUGAAGUCUGCCCAAGAAUGAGGAAGAAGGUGGGGGUCUCCCCUGCCCACUUUUGUUUACAAAAAUAAAGCCCUCUCAGUCCUCAAGGCACAGCCUGCUCUCCUGUCCACUUGUAUGUCUCUCAAGCACGGAUGCUCAUAAACUCACUCUUUGCCUCCCACUUUGCCUCGCGUUCAGUUCUUUCUGUGAUGAGACAAAAAAACCAUGAGCUUCAGUAAGUCCUGACACCUGGUUAAUGGUUUCAGUGAAAAGACAGUGGGUUCAAGUUCCCUCCUAAGUCAGGGAUUGUGGGUUUAAGUUCCACCUGAGUUGCGGGUGGGUUGAGUCCCACGCGAGGAGUGCAGUUUCAGUACUUUCUAAAGAUACACUUACUCUUUCCCUGCACUUCUGCUCAGACAUGCUACCCAGCACAGGUGCAGUAUUUCACCAUUACAUUUCCUCUGGCUGCUAUAGGAAAGCCCACUCUGUACAAUAAGAGAUACUUUCAACAUUGCAGAAAUAUAAAUUUUUAGUAACUUCAAGUUUGGCUGUAAAACAAGGUUACAUUUUACAUGUGCAUUAAUGGCUUGAAAAAAAUGAUUUUGGAGCCUAAUUUUAUUAAGAGCAGGGAUAGCUUCCAAAGAGACCUGAGGCUCCUAUGCAAUGGACAAGUCCGUCUCUGGUGGGUGGAAGGAUAUGAACAAGGCUGACGGGGCAUUUGAACCAUGCAGUAAAUGAAAAAGCUUCUGCCUCAGGCAGAGAAAAUGUUCUCAGAAUAUGAUGUAGAU
Molecule: non-coding RNA, 1933 nt
Organism: Odocoileus virginianus texanus
Lineage: Eukaryota; Metazoa; Chordata; Mammalia; Artiodactyla; Cervidae
Source: RefSeq, a predicted model, not a curated record